RNAcentral lists this transfer RNA (86 nucleotides) under Syntrophus sp. SKADARSKE-3. RNAcentral describes it as "tRNA-Leu". It matches the Rfam family "tRNA". Rfam says of the family: Transfer RNA (tRNA) molecules are approximately 80 nucleotides in length. Their secondary structure includes four short double-helical elements and three loops (D, anti-codon, and T loops). Lineage: Bacteria; Pseudomonadati; Thermodesulfobacteriota; Syntrophia; Syntrophales; Syntrophaceae. The record is from RNAcentral.
GCCGAAGUGGUGGAAUCUGGUAGACACGCUAUCUUGAGGGGGUAGUAGGCUAGCCUGUGCGGGUUCAAAUCCCGCCUUCGGCACCA